UUUUUUUCUUCUUCUUCAACAAAUAGGGAGAGAAA
RNAcentral lists this small RNA (35 nucleotides) under Arabidopsis thaliana (thale cress). RNAcentral's name for it is "ATSL227750". The record is from RNAcentral. Lineage: Eukaryota; Viridiplantae; Streptophyta; Magnoliopsida; Brassicales; Brassicaceae.